RNAcentral lists this ribosomal RNA (1525 nucleotides) under metagenome. RNAcentral describes it as "bacterial LSU rRNA". It matches the Rfam family "Bacterial large subunit ribosomal RNA", at positions 1393 to 2925 of the family's 2925-position model. The record is from RNAcentral.
AAGCUGAGGCCGAUAGGCGUAGGCGAUGGACAACAGGUUGAUAUUCCUGUACCAGUUGCUUUUGUUUGAGCGAUGGAGGGACGCAGGAGGCUAAGGAAUGCACACGAUCGGAAAUGUGUGUCCAAGCAGCAAGUCUGAGAACGAGUGAAAUGCUUUUUCUCUCAAGGACAAGCUGUGAUGGGGAGCGAAAUUUAGUAGCGAAGUUCCUGAUGUCACACUGCCAAGAAAAGCUUCUAGUGAGAAAGUAACUGCCCGUACCGCAAACCGACACAGGUAGUUGAGGAGAGAAUCCUAAGGUGUGCGAGAGAACUCUCGUUAAGGAACUCGGCAAAAUGACCCCGUAACUUCGGGAGAAGGGGUGCUGACCGCAAGGUCAGCCGCAGUGAAUAGGCCCAAGCGACUGUUUAUCAAAAACACAGGUCUCUGCAAAAUCGAAAGAUGACGUAUAGGGGCUGACGCCUGCCCGGUGCUGGAAGGUUAAGAGGAGAGGUUAGCGCAAGCGAAGCUUUGAAUUGAAGCCCCAGUAAACGGCGGCCGUAACUAUAACGGUCCUAAGGUAGCGAAAUUCCUUGUCGGGUAAGUUCCGACCCGCACGAAAGGCGUAACGAUUUGGGCACUGUCUCAACGAGAGACUCGGUGAAAUUAUAGUACCAGUGAAGAUGCUGGUUACCCGCGACAGGACGGAAAGACCCCAUGGAGCUUUACUGCAGUUUGAUAUUGCGUGUUUGUAUCACAUGUACAGGAUAGGUAGGAGCUGAAGAUACCGGGACGCCAGUCUCGGAGGAGGCAACGGUGGGAUACUACCCUUGUGAUAUGACCACUCUAACCCGCUGCUCUUAGCGAGCAGGGAGACAGUGUCAGACGGGCAGUUUGACUGGGGCGGUCGCCUCCAAAAAUGUAACGGAGGCGCCCAAAGGUUCCCUCAGAAUGGUUGGAAAUCAUUCGUAGAGUGUAAAGGCAGAAGGGAGCUUGACUGCGAGACCUACAAGUCGAGCAGGGACGAAAGUCGGGCUUAGUGAUCCGGUGGUUCCGCAUGGAAGGGCCAUCGCUCAACGGAUAAAAGCUACCCUGGGGAUAACAGGCUUAUCUCCCCCAAGAGUUCACAUCGACGGGGAGGUUUGGCACCUCGAUGUCGGCUCAUCGCAUCCUGGGGCUGUAGUCGGUCCCAAGGGUUGGGCUGUUCGCCCAUUAAAGCGGUACGCGAGCUGGGUUCAGAACGUCGUGAGACAGUUCGGUCCCUAUCCGUCGCGGGCGUUGGAAAUUUGAGAGGAGCUGUCCUUAGUACGAGAGGACCGGGAUGGACACACCGCUGGUGUACCAGUUGUUCUGCCAAGAGCAUCGCUGGGUAGCUAUGUGUGGACGGGAUAAACGCUGAAAGCAUCUAAGCGUGAAGCCCCCCUCAAGAUGAGAUUUCCCAUCACUUUAAGUGAGUAAGACCCCUGAGAGAUGAUCAGGUAGAUAGGUUGGGAGUGGAAGUACAGCGAUGUAUGGAGCGGACCAAUACUAAUCGGUCGAGGACUUAACC